AGCAUGAAGUCAAACAAGAGAACCCGCUGAAUUUAAGCAUAUAAGUAGGCGGAGGAAAAGGAACUAAAUAGGAUUCCCUUAGUAAUGGCGAAUGAACAGGGAUAAGCUCAGGCUGGAAACCAGAGCUCCGGUUCUGGGUUGUAGCUUGCAGACAAAGCGCUAUCGGCGGCUCGAGCGUAAGCCUCUUGGAACAGAGCGUGUGCCCAGGUGAGAAUCCUGUGUUUCGCUUGAUGUCCGCCGUAUACGGUGCUUGCUCUCAGAGUCACGCUCCUCGGAAUUGGAGCGUAAAUCAGGUGGUAGAUUUCAUCUAAAGCCAAAUACAGGCUCGAGACCGAUAGCGAACAAGUACCAUGAGGGAAAGAUGAAAAGGACUUUGGAAAGAGAGUUAAAAGUGCUUGAAAUCGCUGAAAGGGAAGCGAAUGGAACCACAUUCAUGGCUGAGAUUGCUGUAGGUGCUUGUGAAUGCUAGUCGCUCUGAUUGGGUGUGAGCAGGUACUUGCAGUGUUUCUUAGCUUGUGUGUCACUUGCCACAUAUGUGUGAGGAUGGCCUUUUGCACACGCUCUCUGCUUGCGGGUAGAGAUUUGUGUUUUUUGGGAUUCACUCGUAUAUGGCAUGCUGAUUCAGUGGUUCCUUUCGACCCGUCUUGAAACACGGACCAAGGAGUCUAGCACACACGCAAGUUCUUGGGUGGCAAACCUGUAUGCGCAAUGAAGGUGACUGCUGGGACUUUGCACCGGCAACCGACCGAUCAAUUGGGAGAAGUUUGAGUAUGAGCAUGUGUGUUAGGACCCGAAAGAUGGUGAACUAA
RNAcentral lists this ribosomal RNA (809 nucleotides) under Symbiodinium sp. D1.2. RNAcentral's name for it is "eukaryotic LSU rRNA". It matches the Rfam family "Eukaryotic large subunit ribosomal RNA", at positions 1 to 834 of the family's 3401-position model. Lineage: Eukaryota; Dinophyceae; Suessiales; Symbiodiniaceae. The record is from RNAcentral.